This 71-nucleotide transfer RNA is filed under the name Camelus bactrianus (Bactrian camel). It matches the Rfam family "tRNA". Rfam says of the family: Transfer RNA (tRNA) molecules are approximately 80 nucleotides in length. Their secondary structure includes four short double-helical elements and three loops (D, anti-codon, and T loops). Lineage: Eukaryota; Metazoa; Chordata; Mammalia; Artiodactyla; Camelidae. The record is from Rfam by way of RNAcentral. RNAcentral also lists the same sequence under 3 other names.
GAGGGCAUAGCUCAGUGGUAGAGCACAUGCUUAGCAUGCACGAGGUCCUGGGUUCAAUCCCCAGGACCUUG